RNAcentral lists this transfer RNA (84 nucleotides) under Bacteriophage sp. RNAcentral's name for it is "tRNA-Ser". It matches the Rfam family "tRNA". Rfam says of the family: Transfer RNA (tRNA) molecules are approximately 80 nucleotides in length. Their secondary structure includes four short double-helical elements and three loops (D, anti-codon, and T loops). The record is from RNAcentral.
GCCGUGUGUCCGGUUGGUCGAGGAAGCAGUCUUGAAAACUGUCUGGGCGUAAAAGCCUCCGGGGUUCGAUUCCCUGACACGGCG